RNAcentral lists this ribosomal RNA (460 nucleotides) under uncultured bacterium. RNAcentral describes it as "partial 16S ribosomal RNA". It matches the Rfam family "Bacterial small subunit ribosomal RNA", at positions 338 to 795 of the family's 1533-position model. The record is from RNAcentral.
CCUACGGGAGGCAGCAGUGAGGAAUAUUGGUCAAUGGGCGCGAGCCUGAACCAGCCAAGUAGCGUGAAGGAUGACUGCCCUACGGGUUGUAAACUUCUUUUGCAAGGGAAUAAAGUGAGGCACGUGUGCCUUUUUGCAUGUACUUUGUGAAUAAAGAUCGGCUAACUCCGUGCCAGCAGCCGCGGUAAUACGGAGGAUCCGGGCGUUAUCCGGAUUUAUUGGGGUUAAAGGGAGCGUAGAUGGGGUGUUAAGUCAGUUGUGAAAGGUUGCGGCUCAACCGUAGAACUGCAAUUGAUACUGGCAGUCUUGAGUACAGUAGAGGUAGGCGGAAUUCGUGGUGUAGCGGUGAAAUGCGUAGAUAUCACGAAGAACCCCGAUUGCGAAGGCAGCUUACUGGACUGCCACUGACGUUGAGGCUCGAAAGUGUGGGGAUCAAACAGGAUUAGAUACCCUAGUAGUC